RNAcentral lists this transfer RNA (58 nucleotides) under Cavia porcellus (domestic guinea pig). Lineage: Eukaryota; Metazoa; Chordata; Mammalia; Rodentia; Caviidae. The record is from Rfam by way of RNAcentral.
GGGGAUUUAGCUCAGCAGUAUAAGCGCCUGCCUUGUAAGCACGUGAGCUCAAUCCCCA